Hemicordylus capensis (graceful crag lizard) is the source of this 315-nucleotide long non-coding RNA. RefSeq lists it as uncharacterized. Lineage: Eukaryota; Metazoa; Chordata; Lepidosauria; Squamata; Cordylidae. The record is from RefSeq and is a predicted model, not a curated record. The transcript has 3 exons.
CAUUCUGUUUGCCUAGAUGGCUUAGGAGGUGCUGCAUGCACUUUAUUUUUUUAUUUGUUUGUUUGUUUAUUUCUCCACUAGCCUUUUCUUUCUUUCUUUCUUUCUUUCUUUCUCAUCCACAGCUUCCAGGCUUGUAACCUGAUUGAACUUAUUCAGAAGUUCGAUCCCAAACCCACGAACCUUCGGACCGAACCACCGGAUCGCAGACUGGUUUUGCACAUUCCUAGUUGGUGAGCACCUUCAGUCCAUGGAUCCGACAUAAUGGAGGCGCCACCGAAAUGCAGUUAAUGGCGAUGAGACUCACCACAAACCAAA